RNAcentral lists this ribosomal RNA (503 nucleotides) under uncultured bacterium. RNAcentral describes it as "partial 16S ribosomal RNA". It matches the Rfam family "Bacterial small subunit ribosomal RNA", at positions 354 to 861 of the family's 1533-position model. The record is from RNAcentral.
UGGGGGAAUAUUGCACAAUGGGGCGCAAGCCUGAUGCAGCAAUGCCGCGUGAGGGACGACGGGCCUUCGGGUUGUAAACCUCUUUUAGUAGGGAAGAAGCGAAAGUGACGGUACCUGCAGAAAAACGCACCGGCUAACUACGUGCCAGCAGCCGCGGUAAUACGUAGGGUGCGAGCGUUGUCCGGAAUUAUUGGGCGUAAAGAGCUCGUAGGCGGUCUGUCGCGUCUGCCGUGAAAACCCGAGGCUCAACCUCGGGACCUGCAGUGGGUACGGGCAGACUAGAGUGCGGUAGGGGAGAAUGGAAUUCCUGGUGUAGCGGUGGAAUGCGCAGAUAUCAGGAGGAACACCGAUGGCGAAGGCAGUUCUCUGGGCCGUAACUGACGCUGAGGAGCGAAAGCGUGGGGAGCGAACAGGAUUAGAUACCCUGGGUAGUCCACGCCGUAAACGUUGGGCGCUAGAUGUGGGGACCAUUCCAUCGGUUUCCGUGUCGCAGCUAACGCAUU